RNAcentral lists this long non-coding RNA (261 nucleotides) under Elaeis guineensis (African oil palm). RNAcentral's name for it is "long non-coding RNA (EGUI_LNC078650)". Lineage: Eukaryota; Viridiplantae; Streptophyta; Magnoliopsida; Arecales; Arecaceae. The record is from RNAcentral.
UAAUAUUAGUUAAAUAUAAUUGUAUUAUAAUAGUUAUCAUAGUAAUUAUUAGUGAUCAUAAUAAUACAUUAUAAUAAAUAUAUUGUUGUGAUCAAAAUAGUGUAUCUAAUUGUCAUAAUGUCAAAUUAUUUUAUAGUGAUAUAGUUACUGUAGUGGUUAUUGUUAUUAUAACUGAAUAAUAAUUUACUAAUAUUAUAAUUCAUUCUGUUAAAAAUAUAAAAAUGAUAUGAUAAUUAUUAUACCAUAAUAGAAAAAGUACAU